UGGGGAAUCUUGCGCAAUGGGCGAAAGCCUGACGCAGCCAUGCCGCGUGAAUGAUGAAGGUCUUAGGAUUGUAAAAUUCUUUCAGUAGGGACGAUAAUGACGGUACCUACAGAAGAAGCCCCGGCUAACUUCGUG
RNAcentral lists this ribosomal RNA (135 nucleotides) under uncultured bacterium. RNAcentral's name for it is "partial 16S ribosomal RNA". It matches the Rfam family "Bacterial small subunit ribosomal RNA", at positions 355 to 507 of the family's 1533-position model. The record is from RNAcentral.